UCUUGAACUCGAGAUAUGGGUUGAACACUAAACAGUGUUUGGGCUGCAGGACAGAUUAUGACUUCUUCGUUGUUGCUAAGAUUUGGACUUCCAAACAGUAGACUUGAGUCUUGGACUCCUCAUGAAUGUUUUAGGCCUAUGUCUUAGCUUUCUAGC
This is a non-coding RNA of Populus trichocarpa (black cottonwood), 156 nucleotides long. The record is from Rfam. NCBI's taxonomy places the organism in Eukaryota, Viridiplantae, Streptophyta, Magnoliopsida, Malpighiales, Salicaceae.